UACGUAGGUGGCAAGCGUUGUCCGGAAUCAUUGGGCGUAAAGCGCGUGUAGGCGGUUCGGUAAGUCCGCUGUGAAAGUCGGGGGCUCAACCCUCGAAAGCCGGUGGAUACUGUCGGGCUAGAGUACGGAAGAGGCGAGUGGAAUUCCUGGUGUAGCGGUGAAAUGCGCAGAUAUCAGGAGGAACACCAAUUGCGAAGGCAGCUCGCUGGGACGUUACUGACGCUGAGACGCGAAAGCGUGGGGAGCAAACAGG
This 253-nucleotide ribosomal RNA is filed under the name uncultured bacterium. RNAcentral describes it as "partial 16S ribosomal RNA". It matches the Rfam family "Bacterial small subunit ribosomal RNA", at positions 524 to 776 of the family's 1533-position model. The record is from RNAcentral.